UACGUAGGUCCCGAGCGUUGUCCGGAUUUAUUGGGUGUAAAGGGAGCGUAGACGGCAAUGCAAGUCUGGAGUGAAAGGCGGGGGCCCAACCCCCGGACUGCUCUGGAAACUGUAUAGCUGGAGUGCAGGAGAGGUAAGUGGAAUUCCUAGUGUAGCGGUGAAGUGCGUAGAUAUUAGGAGGAACACCAGUGGCGAAGGCGGCUUACUGGACUGUAACUGACGUUGAGGCUCGAAAGCGUGGGGAGCAAACAGG
Molecule: ribosomal RNA, 253 nt
Filed under: uncultured bacterium
Lineage: Bacteria
Description: partial 16S ribosomal RNA
Rfam family: Bacterial small subunit ribosomal RNA
Source: RNAcentral